GACGAACGCUGGCGGCGUGCCUAACACAUGCAAGUCGAACGGAGAUAUGAUUUCGGUUGUAUCUUAGUGGCGAACGGGUGAGUAACGCGUGAGCAACCUGACUCUUAGAGGGGGAUAACACUCGGAAACGGGUGCUAAUACCGCAUAAGACCACGACAUGGCAUCAUGACGAGGUCAAAGGAGCAAUCCGCUGAGAGAGGGGCUCGCGUCCCAUUAGAUAGACGGCGGGGUAACGGCCCACCAUGUCAACGAUGGGUAGCCGAGCUGAGAGGCGGAUCGGCCACACUGGAACGGAGACACGGUCCAGACUCCUACGGGAGGCAGCAGUGGGGAAUAUUGGGAAAUGGGCGCAAGCCUGACCCAGCAACGCCGCGUGAGGGAAGAAGGCUUUCGGGUUGUAAACCUCUGUCCUUGGUGACGAAAAAAAUGACGGUAGCCAAGGAGGAAGCCCCGGCUAACUACGUGCCAGCCGCCGCAGUAA
RNAcentral lists this ribosomal RNA (481 nucleotides) under uncultured bacterium. RNAcentral's name for it is "partial 16S ribosomal RNA". It matches the Rfam family "Bacterial small subunit ribosomal RNA", at positions 28 to 523 of the family's 1533-position model. The record is from RNAcentral.